Long non-coding RNA from Hippocampus zosterae (dwarf seahorse), 804 nucleotides. RefSeq lists it as uncharacterized. The transcript is spliced from 2 exons. The record is from RefSeq and is a predicted model, not a curated record. Lineage: Eukaryota; Metazoa; Chordata; Actinopteri; Syngnathiformes; Syngnathidae.
ACGAGUGCCGUUUUCGACACACCAUUUAUAUUUUCGACAUAAAAUCUCAAAACGAAAGCCCCCCAACAGUAGCAUUAGUUAUUCUAAUUCCUCUUCAUUUAAACAUUUAACGUUAAAAAAUGAAAAGAAAAACGGACAUUACAUCAUAUUUCUAUAUGAAAAAGAAACAAAUUGAUCCGGACACAGAGAGAGAGAGAGAGUCAGAUGAUGAUGGAGGUAAAAGGUCUGAAGAGGAGCAAGUUGAAAGCACCUGAAAGGGAGAGUCAGAGGACACUUGAUUCAUUUAUUUUCAGAGUGAGGACACAGAGCAGGAAAGAUAUCCAAAUGAAGAUCCUGAGAAUAAGGAAGACGACACGACAAUAGAAGUGGAGUGUGAGACACAGACAGAAGAUAUUUGCGCUUCAACAAGCACUGGACCAUCAGACAUCAGUAGAUGUAAAGAGGACCCGCCAAAGCAGCCAGACUGAAAACUGUUUCCCAGGACCCUGAUGGGGGACAGGAGAAGGAGCUUCAAGGCAGGCUGGUACCAUAUCCACCCUUGGCUUGAAUAUUCUCAAACGAUGGACUCUGCGUAUUGUUACGCUUGCAGACAUUUUAUCCCUCCUAAUAGCCAAGACACAGUCUUUGACUCACCAGUUGGUUUCAAAAACUGGAAGAAAGCAUCUUACAAAACAGGAGGGGUUGCAUUGCAUGCAAGAUCUGAGCGCCACAAGCAAGCUAUGGUUGCAUGGAGGGACUAUCAGAGAGCUGUAGCAGCUGAUGCAACACUAGCCGUUGCCUUAAAUAAGGAGCACAACAGACACA